UGGCACAUAGCUGCCAUUGAAAUGGUUGCGUACCGUCAUGGGGUGUCGGGGGUCGGAGGUUCAAAUCCUCUCGUGCCGACCA
Molecule: transfer RNA, 82 nt
Filed under: Salmonella enterica
Lineage: Bacteria; Pseudomonadati; Pseudomonadota; Gammaproteobacteria; Enterobacterales; Enterobacteriaceae
Description: tRNA-Pro
Source: RNAcentral